Molecule: ribosomal RNA, 1252 nt
Filed under: uncultured Acinetobacter sp.
Lineage: Bacteria; Pseudomonadati; Pseudomonadota; Gammaproteobacteria; Moraxellales; Moraxellaceae
Description: bacterial SSU rRNA
Rfam family: Bacterial small subunit ribosomal RNA
Source: RNAcentral
UGCUUCGGUAACUGACCUAGCGGCGGACGGGUGAGUAAUACUUAGGAAUCUGCCUAUUAAUGGGGGACAACAUCUCGAAAGGGAUGCUAAUACCGCAUACGCCCUACGGGGGAAAGCAGGGGAUCACUUGUGACCUUGCGUUAAUAGAUGAGCCUAAGUCGGAUUAGCUAGUUGGUGGGGUAAAGGCCUACCAAGGCGACGAUCUGUAGCGGGUCUGAGAGGAUGAUCCGCCACACUGGGACUGAGACACGGCCCAGACUCCUACGGGAGGCAGCAGUGGGGAAUAUUGGACAAUGGGGGGAACCCUGAUCCAGCCAUGCCGCGUGUGUGAAGAAGGCCUUAUGGUUGUAAAGCACUUUAAGCGAGGAGGAGGCUCUCUUGGUUAAUACCCAAGAUGAGUGGACGUUACUCGCAGAAUAAGCACCGGCUAACUCUGUGCCAGCAGCCGCGGUAAUACAGAGGGUGCGAGCGUUAAUCGGAUUUACUGGGCGUAAAGCGUGCGUAGGCGGCUUUUUAAGUCGGAUGUGAAAUCCCCGAGCUUAACUUGGGAAUUGCAUUCGAUACUGGGAAGCUAGAGUAUGGGAGAGGAUGGUAGAAUUCCAGGUGUAGCGGUGAAAUGCGUAGAGAUCUGGAGGAAUACCGAUGGCGAAGGCAGCCAUCUGGCCUAAUACUGACGCUGAGGUACGAAAGCAUGGGGAGCAAACAGGAUUAGAUACCCUGGUAGUCCAUGCCGUAAACGAUGUCUACUAGCCGUUGGGGCCUUUGAGGCUUUAGUGGCGCAGCUAACGCGAUAAGUAGACCGCCUGGGGAGUACGGUCGCAAGACUAAAACUCAAAUGAAUUGACGGGGGCCCGCACAAGCGGUGGAGCAUGUGGUUUAAUUCGAUGCAACGCGAAGAACCUUACCUGGUCUUGACAUAGUAAGAACUUUCCAGAGAUGGAUUGGUGCCUUCGGGAACUUACAUACAGGUGCUGCAUGGCUGUCGUCAGCUCGUGUCGUGAGAUGUUGGGUUAAGUCCCGCAACGAGCGCAACCCUUUUCCUUAUUUGCCAGCACUUCGGGUGGGAACUUUAAGGAUACUGCCAGUGACAAACUGGAGGAAGGCGGGGACGACGUCAAGUCAUCAUGGCCCUUACGACCAGGGCUACACACGUGCUACAAUGGUCGGUACAAAGGGUUGCUACCUAGCGAUAGGAUGCUAAUCUCAAAAAGCCGAUCGUAGUCCGGAUUGGAGUCUGCAACUCGACUCCAUG